This 253-nucleotide ribosomal RNA is filed under the name uncultured bacterium. RNAcentral describes it as "partial 16S ribosomal RNA". It matches the Rfam family "Bacterial small subunit ribosomal RNA", at positions 524 to 776 of the family's 1533-position model. The record is from RNAcentral.
GACGUAGGGCGCGAGCGUUGUCCGGAUUUAUUGGGCGUAAAGCGCACGUAGGCGGACUCUUAAGUCGGUGGUGAAAUCCUGGAGCUCAACUCCAGAACUGCCUUCGAUACUGAGAGUCUCGAGUCCGGGAGAGGUGAGUGGAACUGCGAGUGUAGAGGUGAAAUUCGUAGAUAUUCGCAAGAACACCAGUGGCGAAGGCGGCUCACUGGCCCGGUACUGACGCUGAGGUGCGAAAGCGUGGGGAGCAAACAGG